AUCUCUGUAGAGUCUGCAUAUCAAUAAGCGGAGGAAAAGAAACUAACUAGGAUUCCCUCAAUAACGGCGAGUGAAGCGGGAAGAGCUCAAAUUUGAAAUCUUCAAGGUUCUACCUUGACGAAUUGUAGUUUAAAGAAGUGUUUUCUGUUGGAGUUUUGGUAAAAGUUCUUUGGAAUAGGACAUCAUAGAGGGUGAGAAUCCCGUAUUUGACCAUUACUUUCCAGCUUUGUGAUACACUUUCAAAGAGUCGGAUUGUUUGGGAAUGCAGUCCAAAAUGGGUGGUAAAUUUCAUCUAAAGCUAAAUAUUGGCGAGAGACCGAUAGCGAACAAGUACCGUGAGGGAAAGAUGAAAAGAACUUUGAAAAGAGAGUUAAACAGUACGUGAAAUUGUCAAAAGGGAAGCGUUUGACACCAGUGUUGUUUUCUCGAAAAUCAAUUAAAAAAGGCAGGAUUUUGUGUUGUAUUGACUUUAUCAGCUUUCUGCACUCUUUUCUUGUCUUUUUUAAUGCGCUUUUCGUUUAACAAGUCAACAUCAAUUUCUUUUGUUGUAAAAGGGUCAUUGGAAGGUGGCUUUCUUUUCGGAGAAAGUGUUUAUAGCCUUUGGCUUCUGCAAUCGGAGAGAUUGAGGUCUGCAGCGUAGAUCCUUCGGGGCUAGAUACGUAGAUGCUAAGUUAUAGUUUUUUAUAGACAACUUGUUGACUAUAAUUAAUCAUGUAGCUUACUCGUUUGCGCUAUUUUACCUACGCUUAGGAUGUUGAAGUCAUCGUAUCGCGC
Molecule: ribosomal RNA, 774 nt
Filed under: uncultured Neocallimastigales
Lineage: Eukaryota; Fungi; Neocallimastigomycota; Neocallimastigomycetes; Neocallimastigales
Description: partial large subunit ribosomal RNA
Rfam family: Eukaryotic large subunit ribosomal RNA
Source: RNAcentral